Molecule: long non-coding RNA, 3183 nt
Organism: Prinia subflava (tawny-flanked prinia)
Lineage: Eukaryota; Metazoa; Chordata; Aves; Passeriformes; Cisticolidae
Exons: 3
Source: RefSeq, a predicted model, not a curated record
CAGGAUUCUGGGAUGGAAAUAAGUUGUCACUUAACAACGGUGGGAACUGCAGCACUGGGAAAAUCCUGCCCCCCCAAGUAGGGACUGUAGUUAUGUAAAGCACACUUGGGACAUGAAUUCACUCCAGGAGACUGUAUUUUGUGGUUUAUGUGUUGCAGGCAGUGGAGAACAAGAGGGCAUUUGUUUCUGCAAGAUGUUUAACCAGAUCUGAAAACCUCCCCAUGGCUGCACAGGGGUGCAAGUUUAGAAAGAGGGGAUGUCCCCCUGCAGCCAGGUGGAAGGGAGCACCAGACUUCAGAAAAAUUACUGCCUGUCUUCCCUCCCCCACGAGGCUGAAUCCCAGCACCCCAGAUUGUCGUGACUGCCUGGGAUUGGUGACAUCUCCACUGAAACGUGUUGGAGCAUCAAAACAGAGUGGGAGAAGCACAGCCUGGCUCCAGGAGCCAAAAAUAGGAGUCCCCCAACACAUCUGGUUCCAGCCAUGUGGCCCAGCACCUCAGCUGACCCUCUCAGGUAGCACACAGAAAGGGCAGAGGUGAGGUUUGAGAGGUGUGCUGGUAUCCCCAGGAGCGAUGGGCUGUGUUUUCCAGGCAUCCUCUGCUGUUGGUGGAAGGUUAUUUUUAUUUCUUUCAUUUCCCAAGCCCAGAGACAAAUGACUGUUUCUGUGUGCUAAGCAUCAAUUCUUCUCCUUUUGUUCUUAUCCUUUCUCCUCUCCACAGUUUUCCUCUCUCUUUGAAUUCUCUCAGAGUCUCACUUCCCCUGGCACAGGAGAAAACGUGGUGGUGUUUACAGAGCAGAAGCACUGGGCCUCAGGAGAUGUGAAAGGUGCCCCUGCUGGCUCUCCAACACCUCUCUGUGGUUCUGCUUUCUGACUUCUGUCAGGAUAACCUGGACUAAAACCCCUCUGUGCUUUUCCUGUGCGAUCCUACGGUGUCUAACACAACCUCAGGUAAGACCUCCAGGCACUCCCGUUAUAUGAAUGAGAACAAGAUUGUUGGUGUCAGUAAUUAACAUUCUUGUGGGAUUGUUGGAAAUGCUUUGGGAUAAACACCACCUGGAAUCCUUGCCUGGCUUCUGUGGUUUUUAAGAUGCAGAGGAGCCUGAUCCUGUUUGCAUGAGAGGGCAUGGACCAUCUGUCUCCACUCUUACUGGAUGGGCAGAGUCUUUCAGUCCAAAGAUGAGUUGCUGUGGCUCAGGGAGAAGUGAGACACUGGAGAAGUGAGGGCACAGACAGUAGGGAAGAAGAAUGGAGACUCAGUGGUCAGUGUGUCCCCAGUAAUGAUCUCAUCUGAGAACAACGGCUAAUGACAACCACCAAAACAGGAAAAUACAGUCACUGAGAAUGCUGGGAGUGCCUUGACACGGUGUCAUCCCUAACAGGCUUCCAGGGACAAAAUCUCCCUCUACUGACAUGGAAGGCAAAAUCCCACUGCCUGCAAUAACAUCUGGCUUUCCCCGUGGGGCUUACCUGCAUUUCUCUCCUUCUGGAUGCCCACAGACCCAUAUCCCACAUCGUUAUGCACUUUCUGAUAACAAAUGUGUUACCCUUUCUUUUUAAAUUAUGGAUUGGAUUCCAGUAAACCCUGAGUUUUGGAUUCCAGUAAACCCUGCAUUUUGGAGUCUAGGUUCCCUCCAUCUACCUCUGAAACGCCUAAAUAAACAAACAAGGGAUUAGACCUCAGCAGCUCCCCUGCUCAGCAAGGGAAGCCUUUAAAAGCAUUUUGCAGCAACUGCCCUGCUUGUGUUUCACACUCUGUCAGCCUGGGACUCCAGGAGCUCCACCCUUCUCUCAGCCGUCCCAGGGAAUUCACCUCGGUGAUUGGAACUGCCUCUGUUUAUGACCCUCCCUGACUCCAGUGAGGAGCUGGAGCUGCAGUUGACCUCAGGAGUGACAGAGGUACGUGCUGGGGUUGGAGGGUUUCUGCCAUAUGACCUGCUAACCUAGAAUUUGCUCGGCAAAGUCCAGAGGAUGACUUUUAACCUCAGAGCUGUGUGCAAAACUACAUCUGUGACCAAUAACCGUGACAAAUAAAUGAAAAAGAAAUAAAUCUAGCCCCUUCUGAAGGAUGAAAGACAGCACACCUUGGUGGGCACUGGUGCUGGAAUCAGGAUGGAGCUGGGAAUAAUCGGACAGGCCACGUUACCAGAAGCUGUCCACGGAUGGAGCCGAUGCCUCACACAAGGGAGGCAGCACAGCAGGUUACACUGAGGGUAUCUCAUAGCUCUAAGUCUUAAACUUAACGAGCCACGUCUUUAUUUGUGCUGCAGCCCCUUCUCAUCCCAAAUUGCCUUUACCAGCUGCCAGAGGAUGCCCGGGAACAGAAAAUUCUCCGGAUAACAAUAAAUUGGUGUAACGAUUCAGUGUCACCUCGCAUCCUGCUAAGCAAUAGAGAAAUCACGAUGAGGAAAAUAGGCACGACCAGAGUGGCACUGAACAGUGCAAUCCUAAUUCCAUCACCCUUCUUGUGGGCGACAGAUAACCCAGUGCAAUUUACAGCCGCUCUGAAGCGGCUCCAAGUCUCAGCAGGAGUCGGGAAAGCUCAGCCUAGCCUCGGGACCGAGGAGUCGGAAAGAUCAGGGGAGCUGUUGUUCCAUAACCUUGCCUCUGCACCAAAAUCAGGGGGCUGGUCUGGAAGGGGAAGCACUCCAAGCAAAACACAAAAUUUUAAUCAUGGAGGAUGAAAUGAACGUCCUCCUCGGGAUCCCCCUCUGGAGAAUAGCCUGUCUCUGAUGAUUGUGCACAGACUCCCAAAGAAGGUAAAUUCUGGAUUUAAAUCUCUACGUCACUGUGUGAAUGACAGUGUUAAAUCUUGGCUGGAAGGCUGAGAUAUCUCCAAGAGGAGAAAAACAUUUUUUCCACUUAAGUGGCUGAGGUAGAGGAGGUAAAUAUAUUGUCUCUCACUAUUAAAGGGCGAGGAAAUCAUUUAUACAUGUGAAUUACACCUUUGCACCUAACAGGGGAGGCUUUUUUUAAAUUCAAGAGUCUAAAAGUUUAGAAAUACCAACAUUAAGGUGACCUGUGCAACUGUAGUUUGUCCCUUCCAUGUAUUUGCAUUAUGAUACAGUAUUAAACUGUAAUUAGAUCACACGCUGUUCUUUCAACAGGUUCCUGGCCUCACUCAUUGUACAGAAUAGACUGUGCUCACUAAGUAAUAAUUUUAUUUUGUCCUCGCUGUUCACUGU